GGUGGCAGAGCUGCAGCCCUGGCCCUGGUGGAUAGGGGUGGAUGGCUGGGGAGAGACAGGGAGGAGCGGGAGGGGCAAGAGCAGGUGAGGAGUCCUCCCUGGGGGUGUGCACUUUGCAUUCCAGCUAGGGAGGCUGAGACUGAGGGGCCACAGCUGGUUCCUGGACCCCAAAGCCCAGGGGCCUUCCAAACCGUGCCCGGGAUGGCACUGCGGCCAGGACCCUUUUCUGAAGGGUUUUUGUUUCUUUGAUUGUAAAAUAGACCCCUGUUGGUGGUAGAAAAUUGAAAGGCAAAAAAAAGGCAUUAGAAUCUCCCCCAGUCUCCCACCCUGGCGGCCUUUGCCCGUUUCUUCCCGGGGAGUUUUCUGGGCAUUAACAGAUGUCUGCUCUGCAGACCUGGCCUUGUGCCACCCUGGAAGCUCCGUGCCCAACUCACCCUUCCGUGGCUUCCUGUGGCCAGGGGGCUCCCUCCCCUUCCUGCCCUAGGUCCGAGGUGCCAACAGCUGCCUGGGGUCACAGGCAUCUCCCUGUGGACACUGAGGGAGGGCCUUGGCGGGGCUGGGUUCUCCCGCUGGGUUCCCUGCACCCUGCAUCCCCAGCCCCACCCCCAGCCAUGGGAAAGGUGCGCUUGGGAGGGGCCCACGCAGAUGGGGUCCUGCUCUGGCCUGAGGGCGGCCAUCCUCUGCUCAGGAGGGUUAAGCUCCUUUAUGCCCCAGGGAGCUUCAAGCCGAUCAAUACCGGGCUGGAAGUGGAGGUGGGGGCUGCAGCUGGGGGGCCCCCGACCCUCACCCCAGACAUACUUACUCUUCCCUGCUCCAGCCUCUCUGCAGUGGGAGGUCAGGUCAGCAGCCCUCCUGCCACUGCCCCUGGACUCCUGCUGAGGCUGUCCCAGGCCUGUCUCCCAUCCCACCCCCCACCCUGCGGAGGCGGCCUCACCAGCCAGCCUCUGCCCCAGCAGUUAUUUUUAGCCCCAGACUGAUCCGCAGAGGGAGGCGGGUGAGGCCCUCAGGCCUUGCCCAGGGCGGCCAGUUCCCCACCCACCAAGGGAGGCAGGAGGGCUUCCCUGCACAGGCGGGCAUGGCUGACCCCUCAAGGCGGAACAGUGGGGGCUUUCUUCCUUCCUGGGUGUGAUUCGGGGGCAGGGCCGAAGGCCUGGAGCCUAAGGGGCUUGUCCUAGGAGCCCCAUAGCCAGGUGUCGUCCUCCCAGCUGUCCGUCCCCUCCCUCCUGACCCUGUCCAGCCCACAGCCCCCAUGGGAGCCCCAGAGAGGACAGUCGCAGCAGACGGCACAGGCAGACGCAGAGAACAUUUACAGGGACCAGCUGCAGUGAAGAUCAACCAGGCCUUGACCCCUGAUCUGUUUGGAGCAGUUUCAAGCAUGGAUUUCUCUGAGUGCCGGCUUACUACAAAGAGAACAGCCCUAAUGAUUUAUUUGAGGUGUUCGCCGUGUGAUUUUGGGGAGACUCCACGGUUCGCAGUGUGUUUACAGACCUGCAGCCUCCCCACAGGCCCUUCAGAACAUUGUCCUCCCCCCGGAAAGAAGCCAGCAACUUCCAGGGCCACCUCCACCCCAGGCCCCGGCAGUGCCUCGUCUGCUGUCUCUGGGAAGUUCCCCCUUCUGCUGUUCCAUGUGACCUGCGGUUGUGUGUAACAUGGGAUAGCUGUGUGCCGUGUGGUUGUGUGCGAGAUGCGAUUGUGUAUGACAUGACGUGGUUGUGUGUGAUGCGCCAUCGCGUGUAACAUGGGAUCCGUGUGACAUGUGGUUGUGUGUAAGAUGUGAUUGUGUGUGAUGCGCCAUCGCGUGUAACAUGGGAUAUCUGUGUGCCAUGUGGUUGUGUGUGAGAUACGAUUGUGUGUGACAUGCAUCCCACGUCACGUGGUUGUGUGUGAUGCGCCAUCGUGUGCAUGGGAUCCAUGUGACGUGUGGUUGUGUGUAAGAUGUGAUUGUGUGUGAUGCGCCAUCGCGUGUAACAUGGGAUAUCUGUGUGCCAUGUGGUUGUGUGUGAGAUACGAUUGUGUGUUACAUGCAUCCCAUGUCACGUGGUUGUGUGUGAUGCGCCAUCGUGUGCAUGGGAUCCGUGUGACGUGUGGUUGUGUGUAAGAUGUGAUUGUGUGUGAUGCGCCAUCGCGUAUAACAUGGGAUCCAUGUGACAUGUGGUUGUGUGUAAGAUGUGAUUGUGUGUGAUGCGCCAUCGCGUGUAACAUGGGAUAUCUGUGUGCCAUGUGGUUGUGUGUGAGAUACGAUUGUGUGUGACAUGCAUCCCACGUCACGUGGUUGUGUGUGAUGCGCCAUCGUGUGCAUGGGAUCCAUGUGAUGUGUGGUUGUGUGUAAGAUGUGAUUGUGUGUGAUGCUCCAUCGCAUGUAAAUGGGAUAUCUGUGUGCCAUGUGGUUGUGUGUGAUACGAUUGUGUGUGACAUGCAUCCCACGUCACGUGGUUGUGUGUGAUCCGACGUCGGGUGCAUGGGAUCCGUGUGACGUGUGGUUGUAAGAUGUGAUUGUGUGUGAUGCGCCAUCGCGUGUAACAUGGGAUAUCUGUGUGCCAUGUGGUUGUGAGAUACGAUUGUGUGUGACAUGCAUCCCAUGUCACGUGGUUGUGUGUGAUGCGCCAUCGUGUGCAUGGGAUCCAUGUGAUGUGUGGUUGUGUGUAAGAUGUGAUUGUGUGUGAUGCGCCAUCGCCUGUAACAUGGGAUAUCUGUGUGCCAUGUGGUUGUGAGAUACGAUUGUGUGUGACAUGCAUCCCAUGUCACGUGGUUGUGUGUGAUGCGCCAUCGUGUGCAUGGGAUCCAUGUGACGUGUGGUUGUGUGUGAGAUGCGAUGGUGUAUGACGUGUCCUGUAUGACAUGCGGUUGUGUGUAAUUCAUGAUUGUAACACGUGUGAUCUGUGUGUGUGAUACACCGUCGUGUGUAACAUGGGAUCCGUGUGCUGUGAGGUCGUGUGUGGCGUGUCUGGCUUCCUUAGCCAAGCACAGCUCUUUCCCGAUGCACCCAUGUUUGAGUGUGUCUCCGUGCCCCCUUCCUUUCUAUGUCAAAUGACGCUCCCCACAUGGGUGAGCACACGGUGUCUGUCCAUCUGUCAGUCUGGGCUCUCACAUUGGAGUGAUUGAAGCCUCUGCUAACUGGUACAGUCAGGCUGUCUGCCUUUUGGCUGCUGUGCGUAAAGCUGCCGUGAACUUUC
Molecule: non-coding RNA, 3173 nt
Organism: Callithrix jacchus (white-tufted-ear marmoset)
Lineage: Eukaryota; Metazoa; Chordata; Mammalia; Primates; Cebidae
Source: RefSeq, a predicted model, not a curated record